GCGCCUAUGGUGAAAGGGAUAUCACUCGAGAUUCCGGUUCUCGCAUUCCAGGUUCGAGUCCUGGUAGGCGCACCA
Molecule: transfer RNA, 75 nt
Filed under: Marinococcus halophilus
Lineage: Bacteria; Bacillati; Bacillota; Bacilli; Caryophanales; Bacillaceae
Also listed under: 8 other names
Description: tRNA-Arg
Rfam family: tRNA
About the family: Transfer RNA (tRNA) molecules are approximately 80 nucleotides in length. Their secondary structure includes four short double-helical elements and three loops (D, anti-codon, and T loops). Further hydrogen bonds mediate the characteristic L-shaped molecular structure. tRNAs have two regions of fundamental functional importance: the anti-codon, which is responsible for specific mRNA codon recognition, and the 3' end, to which the tRNAs corresponding amino acid is attached (by aminoacyl-tRNA synthetases). tRNAs cope with the degeneracy of the genetic code in two manners: having more than one tRNA (with a specific anti-codon) for a particular amino acid; and 'wobble' base-pairing, i.e. permitting non-standard base-pairing at the 3rd anti-codon position.
Source: RNAcentral